Molecule: ribosomal RNA, 492 nt
Filed under: uncultured bacterium
Lineage: Bacteria
Description: partial 16S ribosomal RNA
Rfam family: Bacterial small subunit ribosomal RNA
Source: RNAcentral
AGUGAACGCUGGCGGCAGGCCUAACACAUGCAAGUCGAACGGCAGCACAGUAAGAGCUUGCUCCUACGGGUGGCGAGUGGCGGAAGGGUGAGGAAUACAUCGGAAUCUACUUUUUCGUGGGGGAUAACGUAGGGAAACUUACGCUAAUACCGCAUACGACAUACGGGUGAAAGCAGGGGAUCUUCGGACCUUGCGCGAUUGAAUGAGCCGAUGUCGGAUUAGCUAGUUGGCGGGGUAAAGGCCCACCAAGGCGACGAUCCGUAGCUGGUCUGAGAGGAUGAUCAGCCACACUGGAACUGAGACACGGUCCAGACUCCUACGGGAGGCAGCAGUGGGGAAUAUUGGACAAUGGGCGCAAGCCUGAUCCAGCCAUACCGCGUGGGUGAAGAAGGCCUUCGGGUUGUAAAGCCCUUUUGUUGGGAAAGAAAAGCAGCAGGUUAAUACCCCGCUGUUCUGACGGUACCCAAAGAAUAAGCACCGGCUAACUUCGUG